Molecule: ribosomal RNA, 261 nt
Filed under: uncultured bacterium
Lineage: Bacteria
Description: partial 16S ribosomal RNA
Rfam family: Bacterial small subunit ribosomal RNA
Source: RNAcentral
GUCCACGCCGUAAACGUUGGGCACUAGGUGUGGGGCUCGAUCGACGGGCUCCGUGCCGUAGCUAACGCAUUAAGUGCCCCGCCUGGGAAGUACGGCCGCAAGGCUAAAACUCAAAGGAAUUGACGGGGGCCCGCACAAGCGGCGGAGCAUGUUGCUUAAUUCGAUGCAACGCGAAGAACCUUACCAAGGCUUGACAUGUACGGAAAAGCCGUAGAGAUACGGUGUCCUUCGGGUCGUACACAGGUGGUGCAUGGCUGUCGU